GAUGAACGCUGGCGGCGUGCUUAACACAUGCAAGUCGAACGGACGAUUUUUGAUUGCUUGCAAUUUUAAAUUUAGUUAGUGGCGGACGGGUGGAGUAACGCGUGGGUAACCGUGCCUCAUACAGGGGGAGUAACAGUCAGAAAUAGACUGCUAAUACCGCAUAAGCGCACAGCAUCGCAUGAUGCAGUGUGGAAAACUACCGGUGGUAUGAGAUGGACCCGCGUUGGAUUAGCUAGUUGGCAGGGUAGAGGCCUACCAAGGCGACGAUCCAUAGCCGGCCUGAGAGGGUGAACGGCCACAUUGGGACUGAGACACGGCCCAA
This 322-nucleotide ribosomal RNA is filed under the name uncultured bacterium. RNAcentral's name for it is "bacterial SSU rRNA". It matches the Rfam family "Bacterial small subunit ribosomal RNA", at positions 28 to 334 of the family's 1533-position model. The record is from RNAcentral.